Cercophora newfieldiana is the source of this 88-nucleotide non-coding RNA. The record is from the annotation of a GenBank genome assembly. NCBI's taxonomy places the organism in Eukaryota, Fungi, Ascomycota, Sordariomycetes, Sordariales, Lasiosphaeriaceae.
GGUGGUGUGACGCAAUGGUAGCGUGUCGUCCUCCUAUAGAAAUCAUUCUGUUAGACGGAAGUUGUGGGUUCGAGUCCCAUCACCAUCG